RNAcentral lists this ribosomal RNA (706 nucleotides) under Bacillus sp. (in: firmicutes). Its description in RNAcentral is "bacterial SSU rRNA". It matches the Rfam family "Bacterial small subunit ribosomal RNA", at positions 70 to 757 of the family's 1533-position model. The record is from RNAcentral. Lineage: Bacteria; Bacillati; Bacillota; Bacilli; Caryophanales; Bacillaceae.
GAUUAAGAGCUUGCUCUUAUGAAGUUAGCGGCGGACGGGUGAGUAACACGUGGGUAACCUGCCCAUAAGACUGGGAUAACUCCGGGAAACCGGGGCUAAUACCGGAUAACAUUUUGAACCGCAUGGUUCGAAAUUGAAAGGCGGCUUCGGCUGUCACUUAUGGAUGGACCCGCGUCGCAUUAGCUAGUUGGUGAGGUAACGGCUCACCAAGGCAACGAUGCGUAGCCGACCUGAGAGGGUGAUCGGCCACACUGGGACUGAGACACGGCCCAGACUCCUACGGGAGGCAGCAGUAGGGAAUCUUCCGCAAUGGACGAAAGUCUGACGGAGCAACGCCGCGUGAGUGAUGAAGGCUUUCGGGUCGUAAAACUCUGUUGUUAGGGAAGAACAAGUGCUAGUUGAAUAAGCUGGCACCUUGACGGUACCUAACCAGAAAGCCACGGCUAACUACGUGCCAGCAGCCGCGGUAAUACGUAGGUGGCAAGCGUUAUCCGGAAUUAUUGGGCGUAAAGCGCGCGCAGGUGGUUUCUUAAGUCUGAUGUGAAAGCCCACGGCUCAACCGUGGGAGGGUCAUUGGAAACUGGGAGACUUGAGUGCAGAAGAGGAAAGUGGAAUUCCAUGUGUAGCGGUGAAAUGCGUAGAGAUAUGGAGGAACACCAGUGGCGAAAGGCGACUUUCUGGUCUGUAACUGACACUGAGGCGCGAA